RNAcentral lists this long non-coding RNA (1191 nucleotides) under Apteryx rowi (Okarito brown kiwi). RNAcentral describes it as "lncRNA (ENSARWG00000006013.1)". The record is from RNAcentral. Lineage: Eukaryota; Metazoa; Chordata; Aves; Apterygiformes; Apterygidae.
CCCAAUUCUGGGCCGUAGGAGCCUAGAAAUAGGGCGCCCGCCCCAAGCCGUUUCGCCCCGUUUCGGUUUGGCAACGGUUUGCGUCCUUCCAGGGGGCUCCGCGUAGAGGGCGGAGUAAAGCUGAUCCCUCGCUUCGCCUCUGAGGGCCUUUCUCUUGCCUUUCCCCAAAUCCCCCUGCCUUCCCCGAGGCUCGAGAAAUCAGGGCCCUACGCUGAGCUUUCACUUGUGUGGCGCUAGCUGUGUCAGUCCCAUACGAACGACAGCGCGUUUUGAUUAGACGUAGCAGAAGCUACCUGAGCACAACGCUUUUUUGUAUAUUUUUAUGUUCAGGUUGCAUAUAAAUACUGGCUGUUGUGUUUUUUUUCUGCUUUGAAUUUUACAGACUAGUGGGAACAAUAAGAAAUUUUUAAAAAAUCAGAAUGUGCAUAAUGUUUGACUGUUUUUUUUUUUUAACUUUAAUGAUGUCCAGAUAUUGAGAAUGAUAAGAAGACCUGGCAUUAUCUAGUAGGAUGAGGAGGCUACCCAAAGAAAGAUGGAGUAAUCCAGUGCAACGCCGCUGUAAUGCAAGGACUUCCUGUCAGUUUGGAGCAGUAGCAGCCUUACCUGGGAAAUGUUGGAACUCCACUUGCUGUUGUUCUUGAAGUGCUGGAGAGAUCUAUCCACGGUUUCCUAAUAGGAGAUGGUGCUGUGACUUUUGUGAGAGAAUAAGGCUUCGUGAUAGAAGAUAAUAAAAGCAGGAUGACUAAGCAGAGUGCUGAAGCUUAUCAGGAAUACUUAGAAAAGCAGAAAAAUUCCAGAGGACAUGACACCUCAGGUAUAAGUGCUUUGGAUGGCCAUGGAAAGACAACUGUUAAGAUGGAUCAAACAUAUUGCACAGUUGAUCUACUUCCUAUCUUCUUUCUUCUUGUGGCUAAUGAAAUCGGAACGGUUAGAGAAGGUGCUUCCCCCAAGCAUGGUGGUUUCCAGCACUGGCAAGUGUCAAAUCAAAAAGAUGAGCUGAAGAGGAGCUCAUUGUUCUUCCAGUUCUCUUCUCCAGAGAUGGUGAAAAGCUGUCACACCUUCUUCUUUAUAGGGGUCCUUAAGUCAUCAGGUAAAGAAUCACUGGAACAGGGCACCACACAGCCAAUUGCCUCAUCUCAUAUGUCUGAAGCAUCAGCUUUGCAGAGAACUGCAAAGGAGCUAUGUUGCUGA